GGGCCCGCACAAGCGGUGGAGCAUGUGGUUUAAUUCGAUGCAACGCGAAGAACCUUACCUGGUCUUGACAUACACAGAAUCUUGUAGAGAUACGAGAGUGCCUUCGGGAAUUGUGAUACAGGUGCUGCAUGGCUGUCGUCAGCUCGUGUCGUGAGAUGUUGGGUUAAGUCCCGCAACGAGCGCAACCCUUGUCCUUAGUUACCAGCGGGUUAAGCCGGGAACUCUAAGGAUACUGCCAGUGACAAACUGGAGGAAGGCGGGGACGACGUCAAGUCAUCAUGGCCCUUACGACCAGGGCUACACACGUGCUACAAUGGUAGGUACAGAGGGCAGCUACACAGCGAUGUGAUGCGAAUCUCAAAAAGAAUGUCGUAGUCCGGAUUGGAGUCUGCAACUCGACUCCAUGAAGUCGGAAUCGCUAGUAAUCG
This 428-nucleotide ribosomal RNA is filed under the name uncultured bacterium. RNAcentral's name for it is "bacterial SSU rRNA". It matches the Rfam family "Bacterial small subunit ribosomal RNA", at positions 917 to 1344 of the family's 1533-position model. The record is from RNAcentral.